Non-coding RNA from Xiphophorus couchianus (Monterrey platyfish), 899 nucleotides. NCBI's taxonomy places the organism in Eukaryota, Metazoa, Chordata, Actinopteri, Cyprinodontiformes, Poeciliidae. The record is from the annotation of a RefSeq genome assembly.
GUUGUCAAGUGGUCAGGUCAACAGGUCAUCAGGUCAACAGGUCAUCAGGUCAUCAGGUCAACAGGUCAUCAGGUCAUCAGGUUCCGGCUCCACCUGAGUCUCCUGAAGUUCCUCACAGAGCAGAUCAGGCUGAAUCCUGUUAAAUGGGUUCAUGAAGCAGGUUAAGAUGGCGUCUCCGUCUCCAUGGCGAUAAGCAAACUGCAGGGGGUCCUGAUAUGAGCUUGUUCAGGUGGGCCAACAGGAGUGUCUCCAGGACCUCCAUGAUGCGGGUUGUCAUGGCAACAGGUCUACAGUCGUUGACGACUAAAGUCCAUCAGAAAGCAGCUGAAGCUGAGAGGAAGAGGAGGAAGAGGAGGAAGAGGAGGAGCUGAUCUGUUCCUGAUCUCUAAAGAGACUCAAACUUCCUCCUUCAGUUCAGUUCAACUCUCCAACAUUAACUCUGCUCAACAUGGACUAUUAUGGUCUGUCUCUGCUCAUCAUCUCUCUGCUAACAGCAGUCACCUGUGAAGAACUGACUCCAGUCAAACAUGCAGAGUCCAGAUCAGAAAGCAGCAAAGUUACUCUGUCCUACACUUACUCCAAAACAGCCACUGGAACUGAUUCUUUCUUCUGGUAUCGACAAUAUCUUGGAAAACCUCCACAGUUCCUGAUCUCUCACUCAGGAACAGGAACACAAACUUCUCAGCCGCUUCCUGGUUUCUCCUUCAACAUGAAUGCUGAUAAAACCCAGAUGGAUCUGCUGAUCUCCUCUGCUGCAGUGACAGACUCUGCUGUGUACUACUGCGCUGUGAAGCCCACAGUGACAGGAAACACCAGAACCCUGUACAAAAACCUGCAGUACUCCACAGCAGCCACUAGAGGGCCUCACUCUCUGUUAAACCACUAAAACCUGCAGUACU